AGAGUUUGAUCCUGGCUCAGGAUGAACGCUAGCGGCAGGCUUAAUACAUGCAAGUCGAGGGGCAGCGGGGGUAGCAAUACCUGCCGGCGACCGGCAAACGGGUGCGGAACACGUACACAACUUUCCUUUAAGUGGGGGAUAGCCCAGAGAAAUUUGGAUUAAUACCCCGUAACAUUAUGAGAUGGCAUCAUUUUAUAAUUAAAGCUCCGGCGCUUAAAGAUGGGUGUGCGGCUGAUUAGGUAGUUGGCGGGGUAACGGCCCACCAAGCCUUCGAUCAGUAACUGGUGUGAGAGCACGACCAGUCACACGGGCACUGAGACACGGGCCCGACUCCUACGGGAGGCAGCAGUAAGGAAUAUUGGUCAAUGGACGCAAGUCUGAACCAGCCAUGCCGCGUGAAGGAUGAAGGUCCUCUGGAUUGUAAACUUCUUUUAUUUGGGAAGAAAUCCAUUUUUUCUAAAGUGGUUGACGGUACCAGAUGAAUAAGCACCGGCUAACUCCGUGCCAGCAGCCGCGGUAAUACGGAGGGUGCAAGCGUUAUCCGGAUUCACUGGGUUUAAAGGGUGCGUAGGUGGGCAGGUAAGUCAGUGGUGAAAUCUCCGGGCUUAACCCGGAAACUGCCAUUGAUACUAUCUGUCUUGAAUACCGUGGAGGUGAGCGGAAUAUGUCAUGUAGCGGUGAAAUGCUUAGAUAUGACAUAGAACACCAAUUGCGAAGGCAGCUCACUACGCGAAUAUUGACACUGAGGCACGAAAGCGUGGGGAUCAAACAGGAUUAGAUACCCUGGUAGUCCACGCCCU
Molecule: ribosomal RNA, 800 nt
Filed under: uncultured bacterium
Lineage: Bacteria
Description: bacterial SSU rRNA
Rfam family: Bacterial small subunit ribosomal RNA
Source: RNAcentral